CGGAGCGCGAGGCGCCGGCCGCCGGUCCGGGCGGAGCUGCGGAGGCCACGGGCGCGCGGGCUCCGGGUUCCUCCACAGAAAGUUCUGACUUGGCACACCCAGCCCUGCUUUCCCUAUGCUCGUCUUGGACUGGAAUGACUUGGACUGGGAUGACCAUCACCCGAGGGCAGAUCUUCAAAUUAAGAGGCGAACAUCAAUGUUAAAUUCAAAAAACAACAGUUUGAAGCUUGUGCAACAACCUUAAAAAGAGGAAGAAAGGAGAGUGGACGGCUGGCCACAGGAAAACUCCCGAACCGUCGGGGCUCCGCGGGUCCACGCUGGAGAACCCAUCGUCACACAGUGGGAAUGUAAGAAACCCGCGCUCAGCCCCCAGAACCAAAGAGGAGUGCACCGCACCACUGCUGUGAUGUCAUGCACAAACACACAUAAAAGGUUUAUUUCUCCACCCUGGCUAAUAAACUUGCUUUGUACACAUCCAGCCACCACUUUCCCUUUCAGUGUACGGUCAGCGGGAGGAAAUUCACCGCGGCCAGCCCAGCAACCACUGGGCUUUCCGGGAGCGGAGGCCAUGGCUCAGGCACCAGCUCAUUCCAACACUGUUCCAUGGGGAACCGCAUCCUGAGAGGCACCCCUAGCUCCUCUGCGGACCGCGCAAACCCCGCUCCAUUCCAUUUCCCGGCGGCGGUUGACAUGCAACCGUGAGUCACCCGGGCGCCCGCCUCCGCCCGGCCGGGCGAGCCGCCGUCGCUCCCAGCGGGACCGGCUCCGUCGGGCCGCACCCUCCCUCUCGGGGGGACAGGUCUCCGCUCCACAGGGGGCGCUCCCGUAACAACCCGGCCGACCUGGCGCCUCUCACUACCUUUCGGGACAGACUCUACACUU
Long non-coding RNA from Pipistrellus kuhlii (Kuhl's pipistrelle), 882 nucleotides. RefSeq lists it as uncharacterized. The transcript has 3 exons. Lineage: Eukaryota; Metazoa; Chordata; Mammalia; Chiroptera; Vespertilionidae. The record is from RefSeq and is a predicted model, not a curated record.